Molecule: ribosomal RNA, 700 nt
Filed under: uncultured bacterium
Lineage: Bacteria
Description: bacterial SSU rRNA
Rfam family: Bacterial small subunit ribosomal RNA
Source: RNAcentral
CCUCAAAGAGGGGGACAACAGUUGGAAACGACUGCUAACACCGCAUAAGCCCACGGGUCGGCAUCGACCAGAGGGAAAAGGAGCAAUCCGCUUUGAGAUGGCCUCGCGUCCGAUUAGCUAGUUGGUGAGGUAAUGGCCCACCAAGGCAACGAUCGGUAGCCGGACUGAGAGGUUGAACGGCCACAUUGGGACUGAGACACGGCCCAGACUCCUACGGGAGGCAGCAGUGGGGAAUAUUGCACAAUGGGGGAAACCCUGAUGCAGCGACGCCGCGUGGAGGAAGAAGGUCUUCGGAUUGUAAACUCCUGUUGUUGAGGAAGAUAAUGACGGUACUCAACAAGGAAGUGACGGCUAACUACGUGCCAGCAGCCGCGGUAAAACGUAGGUCACAAGCGUUGUCCGGAAUUACUGGGUGUAAAGGGAGCGCAGGCGGGAAGACAAGUUGGAAGUGAAAUCCAUGGGCUCAACCCAUGAACUGCUUUCAAAACUGUUUUUCUUGAGUAGUGCAGAGGUAGGCGGAAUUCCCGGUGUAGCGGUGGAAUGCGUAGAUAUCGGGAGGAACACCAGUGGCGAAGGCGGCCUACUGGGCACCAACUGACGCUGAGGCUCGAAAGUGUGGGUAGCAAACAGGAUUAGAUACCCUGGUAGUCCACACCGUAAACGAUGAUUACUAGGUGUUGGAGGAUUGACCCCUUCAGUG